This is a non-coding RNA of Podarcis lilfordi (Lilford's wall lizard), 86 nucleotides long. NCBI's taxonomy places the organism in Eukaryota, Metazoa, Chordata, Lepidosauria, Squamata, Lacertidae. The record is from the annotation of a GenBank genome assembly.
ACAAAUGGGCAUGAUCCAAAAUCCAGGGAAGUCAACCGAAAAACUGCACUUUGACUUGCUCUGGGCUUUGGAUCAAACCCAGCAGU